Molecule: non-coding RNA, 33 nt
Filed under: unclassified sequences
Source: RNAcentral
CUAUGGUUAUAAUAUUUACCAUGGCGGAAGGAG